Molecule: ribosomal RNA, 474 nt
Filed under: uncultured bacterium
Lineage: Bacteria
Description: bacterial SSU rRNA
Rfam family: Bacterial small subunit ribosomal RNA
Source: RNAcentral
AUAGAGUUUGAUCAUGGCUCAGAAUGAACGCUGGCGGCAUGCCUAACACAUGCAAGUCGAACGAAGCCUUCGGGUUUAGUGGCGCACGGGUGCGUAACGCGUGGGAAUCUGCCCCUUGGUUCGGAAUAACAGUUGGAAACGACUGCUAAUACCGGAUGAUGACGUAAGUCCAAAGAUUUAUCGCCGAGGGAUGAGCCCGCGUAGGAUUAGGUAGUUGGUGUGGUAAAGGCGCACCAAGCCGACGAUCCUUAGCUGGUCUGAGAGGAUGAUCAGCCACACUGGGACUGAGACACGGCCCAGACUCCUACGGGAGGCAGCAGUGGGGAAUAUUGGACAAUGGGCGAAAGCCUGAUCCAGCAAUGCCGCGUGAGUGAUGAAGGCCUUAGGGUUGUAAAGCUCUUUUACCCGGGAUGAUAAUGACAGUACCGGGAGAAUAAGCUCCGGCUAACUCCGUGCCAGCAGCCGCGGUACUGC